UGCAGUCGAGCGGAUGAAGGGAGCUUGCUCCUGGAUUCAGCGGCGGACGGGUGAGUAAUGCCUAGGAAUCUGCCUGGUAGUGGGGGAUAACGUCCGGAAACGGGCGCUAAUACCGCAUACGUCCUGAGGGAGAAAGUGGGGGAUCUUCGGACCUCACGCUAUCAGAUGAGCCUAGGUCGGAUUAGCUAGUUGGUGGGGUAAAGGCCUACCAAGGCGACGAUCCGUAACUGGUCUGAGAGGAUGAUCAGUCACACUGGAACUGAGACACGGUCCAGACUCCUACGGGAGGCAGCAGUGGGGAAUAUUGGACAAUGGGCGAAAGCCUGAUCCAGCCAUGCCGCGUGUGUGAAGAAGGUCUUCGGAUUGUAAAGCACUUUAAGUUGGGAGGAAGGGCAGUAAGUUAAUACCUUGCUGUUUUGACGUUACCAACAGAAUAAGCACCGGCUAACUUCGUGCCAGCAGCCGCGGUAAUACGAAGGGUGCAAGCGUUAAUCGGAAUUACUGGGCGUAAAGCGCGCGUAGGUGGUUCAGCAAGUUGGAUGUGAAAUCCCCGGGCUCAACCUGGGAACUGCAUCCAAAACUACUGAGCUAGAGUACGGUAGAGGGUGGUGGAAUUUCCUGUGUAGCGGUGAAAUGCGUAGAUAUAGGAAGGAACACCAGUGGCGAAGGCGACCACCUGGACUG
This 684-nucleotide ribosomal RNA is filed under the name Pseudomonas aeruginosa. Its description in RNAcentral is "bacterial SSU rRNA". It matches the Rfam family "Bacterial small subunit ribosomal RNA", at positions 56 to 736 of the family's 1533-position model. The record is from RNAcentral. Lineage: Bacteria; Pseudomonadati; Pseudomonadota; Gammaproteobacteria; Pseudomonadales; Pseudomonadaceae.